AAGAGCAGUGACAAGGCAUUGUGUUCAGCUUAGGAAAUGAACGCAUGAAGAAUAGCUUUGUUUGCAUUCUGGUAACUGCUGAGGCUUUGGCUGACGACAGCUUUCAGCUGCACCUGAACUAGGCUGGAUUUGUCUCCUGCUCUCCAUAGGUGAGUAUUUCUCUUGCAGACCUUUGAAUCAGCUUUGUACACAGCUUACGUUAUGGAACAGGAAAGACUCCAAUAUGGUAAAAACGUGAUUUCUGGUGUUUUGGUACGUAUAUUCAAGUCAGUAUGGGUCCAUUUCAGACAUCAUCGUCUCACAUCUGUUUGUUGUCUCAUGGCAAACAAAUUUUUACUAAUUUGGCUACAUACAUACUCCACCCAUAGUUUGCGUAUUGUCUUCUUAGGGUGAGGUUUGCCUGCUGAACAGCAAGACAAAAGAAGCUGAAAUUACAGAAGCAGAGAAGCAAAGGCAGCUUAGAGGCUUAAUACAGUACGGAUCAGUUAGAGUAUGACUUGGAAGUUGUUGUGUUCUGGGUCUUAGGUGGGAUGAGAUUUGGGUGUGAAUGUUACAGCCAAGUGUUUUUCCCUUGUUCAUUGUUCACCUGCUGCCAUGCAAGCCAGCUCUUCUUUUCCCUGCCUCUGCUUUUCUUGUUGCAUGCAUAUGCAUCGCAAAAUCUCUGCACAGAUUUAUUUUCCCGUUUUAAAAGUGUAUAGCUAGAAGUGGGGCUUAUCUCAUCAUCUGAUGGAGAUUGGUUGUGUAUGGGGGAGUUUGCACGAAUUAUUAGCAUCUCACCAAAAGCAAGGAACAGAAAAAGAAAGAAAAAAACACCAAACCGCCCAAAAGCUGCAUAAAUGACUAUAGCUGAGCCAGCAGGAAAUAGUACCUGCAGUUUGCAGAGUCCUCAUUUUGCUCAGCACUGACUGGAUGGGGUUAACAGUGACCACUAAUGAAGGAGCUCUGCUACCUGUCUCAGCAGUGCUCCAGUCUUUGUUGCUGCAUUAUGAAUGCACUGCUCCUCCUGCCACAUUUCUUCAUGCCCUCAGUUGUUAUCUGAGCAGUGGUAGCCCCCACGAGCUAUGCAGUCAGUGCCUGCUUGCUCCAGGUGCUCCAUAAGCACAGCAGAAGGAUGCCAGGGGGCUUGCAGGCAGUGUGUGCAUGCUGUUGCUCUCUCCAAGAAGCCCCUGUUUUGGCUAGCUGCAGAAGAAACCAUUUUUUCCUUGGUCAGAUCCUUGCAAACGCAGUGCAAGCGUACAGAACUGUACAGUGUCUAGCUGUCUUUUCGCAGUACAUGCAAUGAGGUUAUCUAUUUUUCAGGCAGAGAAGUGCCUCCAGGCAGUUUGGAGAACUGCUGGUUCAGGCUUCACCUCCACUAAUCCCAGUUCAGUCACUUUCCUCUGCAGAACCUGCAUCAUGCCGUGGUUUUAAGCUGCAGAUGGAGUUCUUCUCGCAGGACUGAAGUGCUGCAGCUCUCUGAGCUCCGAAGGCACCCUGAACUCAUAAUGAGCUCCAUGGCAUUGCAAAGAAUGCACCAAAGUAAGUAGUGCAGGAAAGCAUUUUUUCCAGUUAGAAUGUUGGCCUUCCAAAGCAGGCCUGCCUUGGUUGCACUGGCUUGCAUCUCAGCUGGUGUUCUGUUGUCAGGGUUCCCGUAUUUCUAGCGGUUGGCAGGGAGGUGGCUCAUGACAUUGAGGGGCUGGAGAUCAGCCCUGCCAAAAGGGAGGGAUCUGGGCGUUGUGGUUGCUGACAACUUGAAUCUGAGCUGGCAGUGUGCCCUGGGCACAGGGUUUGAGUUUGGGUGGUCCUUUGGGGAGCCAGGGGUUGGACUUGAUGGUCCCUGUGUGUCCCUUCCAACUCAGGAUAUUCGAUGAUUCUGUGAUAUCCGUGGUUUGCCUGGGAAAUCCCUGAUGGUUUUUUCUUUCCCUUUUUCAUGGCAUAGCGAGCUGUGAGAAGUGAAGGAAUGGCAGUGCGUGCUUAACCGGGCUGCGUGGCAAGCAGGUCCAGUGGGCUGCUGUAUAAGGAUGCAUCCAGACUUCCAAAUCACCUCCUUUAAGAAGGCCGAAUAGUCUUUCAGUGAUUGUUCUGGGCAGCUCACACCACUGGGUGUAUAAUUCAUUUCACUUGGAAUUUCAGGGUCAGACAUAAAUGUCUGAGAAGGAAGUGAGAGGCUGAACUGCUAUUUGGAAAAAUGAAAAGUGUUUAAAAUGUUUUUGCAAAAUACCCCUCAGCAAACAGUCGUCCUUUUGCACUUUUGGCCAGUCUCAGAUGCUUGUCUUCCAGAAUGUCUGCGUGUGGAUGAAUUGCAACAGGAUCCUGGGAAUUUUUAAGAAAGGUAGGAAGGAGGACCCGGGGAACUACAGGGCGGUGAGCCUCACCUCUGUGCCUGGGAAGAUCAUGGAGCAGAUCCUCCUACAAGAGGAAGAAACUUACAGGAGAAAAAAACUACAGGAAAGAUUGCUUUACGUGUAAUGAAAAGCUAGUGUCCAGAAGAUCACUGCGGCCAGAUGCCAAUUUUGAUGCCCUCGUCAGUAAGAUUUGUCCGAGCCCUGAUGUAUGUGAAGCUCAUCAGGAGGGAAUGCUAGCAAGAAUCAGCUAACACAAUAGCAGCAAGCUUUCAGUGACAGCGUUCAGGAAGGGUGACGAUUCAGGCUGGGAGCAGGAAGUGACCAACCAUCUGCACAGGACGCGCUGCGGUUUGGCAGCCAUCCCACACUGCCAGUCUCGGCCAGAGGAACACAGACAGCGCCGACAACUGGCAUGCCAGGGGUGGAUGCUGGGAAAAACACAAGGGCUGUGCUUCAGGAGUUUCUGCAGGUGCACUUCACCCUAGUGAUCGCAGUGCUUGUAACUGUGCUGCUGUCUGGGCUGGUGAUGACCUGUAUUGCUGUGUCGUGGAUGUGGCACAAAUAUCCAGUGUGCAAGAGGGCAGAGACAGCUCCAGGACAAGCUCAUCCUGAGAGUGACCGGGAGAGAGGCCAAUCUGGAAGUGAAGGCAGAGCGGAGCUGGGAGAGGCAACAGAAGAUGCCGUAGUUGCCCAAGAAAAGAAGAAUGUGUCCAGCGGAUCCAGCCCGUUCCCCUCCUCCUUUGAAGCGGAGUUUGAACAGCUGUGCAGCAAAAUCAGCACAGACCCUUCCCCUUUGGCCCACAUGUCCCAGCAGCUCUCCCACGGACGGCGUCUCUUCCCCAGAUGCCCGCGGUUCUCGGGGUUCCCCAUAGCCAUCUAGUGCCCCGGUUACCUGUGUCAGCAGGGCUGGGGUCCCCUGGAAGACCCUGCUUUGUGAGUAAUAAAGACACCCUGUGCAAAAGCA
Gallus gallus (chicken) is the source of this 3288-nucleotide RNA transcript. RefSeq lists it as uncharacterized. The transcript is spliced from 7 exons. The record is from RefSeq and is a predicted model, not a curated record. NCBI's taxonomy places the organism in Eukaryota, Metazoa, Chordata, Aves, Galliformes, Phasianidae.